Long non-coding RNA from Cyprinus carpio carpio, 3118 nucleotides. The record is from Ensembl. NCBI's taxonomy places the organism in Eukaryota, Metazoa, Chordata, Actinopteri, Cypriniformes, Cyprinidae.
UUCUCUUUUGUUUCACCCUCUUUUAUUUUUAUUCUUCUGAAAUUCAUAGAAACAGAUAAAAAACAACAAUCAUCUCCAUAUCAGUCAGGCAGAAUGCAUGAACUAUAGGCUAAAUUUGUGUGUGUGUGUGUGUGUGUGUGUGUGUGUGUGUGUGUGUGUGUGUGUGUGUGUGUGUGUGUGUGUUUGUGUGUGUGUGUGUGUGCAAGCCAGUGUGGGUGUAUAGUGUAUAUACUUUUUUCCCCUCAUUCAUCCCACUGGCUUUGACAUCUUCAAAGGGCCUUGUGCCAAUACUUAUUCACAGCAAUCAUAUUUGGACUGAAUAAAGUAGUGGAGGUGUAUAAACAAAAUGAAGGAAUGUAAGCCUGAGUGAAUCUGUAUGUGAAGGGCUUUGCACUGAAUGUUCAAAUCCAGCAAUUUUGACAGACAAGGAGGACAAAUAAGAGAUUGUAAUGAACAUGAACUUUUAAGCUUCAUUUAUAAAAUGAAGAUCAUUCUAGGUCCAUGAUAUUUCUCUUAAAGGGUAAACGCUUUCAAGUACAGUUAAGUACAUAGACAUAACUGGACUAUUUUGCCCACAUAAAACCAAGCUACAUUCCUACAAAUUGAAAGCUGUCCAAUUAGAUAGAUAGAUAAUGGAUUAAAAAUGAUUGAUUCUAUUACACUGCACAAAAUCAUUUGUUUAAUGAGUAUUUUAGUCUUAAUUUCUUUCUUGGUCUUUUUUGUCUUGUUUCCAUAUCCAAACAAGAUAAAUGCACUUAACCAAAUUUGUAUUAAACAUUAAGGCAUAAUUAAGAUAUGAUAUCUGAAAACAUGAUCGUUGUUCUUACUCUAUUGGCAAACCCAUAAUUAAAAAAAAAAUCAUGAAUUUUUCAUUCAUUUCUCAUAAAACAAGAAAAGUACUAUUUGUCAAGGGGUCAAGGGCCCUCUAAAAAAAAAGCCUUAAUAUCUUAUGCAGUUUUACUUGUGUAUAUAUGCAAAAAAAGUAUGGAUUAAGAAAAUAAUUUUAUUUUAUUCCAUAUAGGGCCUGUCAAAAAAAAAAAAGUGCUAAACAAAAAGGAUGUUGCUGAUGUAUUUCAGUGCUAUUCUGAGAUCAGUGAAAGCUCUAUUUACAGCACUGUUCUGAGAUAAGACAGAGCUGUCUGAGUGCUUCACUGAGAUCAGCAACAGCUUAGAUCAGUAAAAGCUGCAGUUGGGUUGCUGGUCUGAGAAAUUUUAAAGGUGCCGUAGAAUGCAAAAAUCACUUUUAUAAGGUGUUCACUUUUAUAACACAGUUGUGUGGCCGCAGUGUGUGAAAACAACCAGCCUAUAAUGGUAAAAAUCCACCCACUCAUUGUUUUAUAAUCCUAAUAAAUCAUAAUCAGUCUCUCCACACUAGCAGUUCCAGAUUUCUCACUACUAUGAUGUCAUACUCGGGGAAAGUCACACCCAAUUUUGAUGCUCCCUGCCCUAUUAGCAUAUACACAGCCCUGAGUGAGAAGCAGCGGUCCGUUUUCUUGCUGUAGCUGCUGGAGAUACAAUGUCAGCGCCAAAGAGCCAUUAAAGUGUUGUGUGUUGGGAUACACCAACAAACAUAAGAGACUCCAUAGACCGCUGAGGACAAAUUGGUUAGAUUUAAUUUUCAAAGGAAAUAUCCCGGAAAAAAAAACAGAAAAGUCCUAUACGUUUGUGCUAACAUUUUAUGCUGGACUGCCUCACAAACGAGGGUCAGUUCAGCACUGGAGUUGUGCAAGGAUUGCUUCUGAAAGAGGGAUUGAUAGCAACACUUCGUGCACAAACUUCCAGCCUCCAGACAAAGUAAGCAUCAUGCCUCAUAUUUUGUUUUCCAAAAGAGCUUCUUGGCUCUCUGUAAGGCUAAUGUUGCUAAAUCUACCAUUGUCUCUGCUGGUUUCACUAAUGCUGCCUUCACGUGCUACCAGAAUGAUCGUAAAUAGGAAUGUGGUAGUUAGAAUUGCAUUUGGAAGCAAUGUGAGGUCAGUAACACGGUCACCACCAGUUAAACCGUAACACGUGCCCACGAGCAUGAGUUAUUGAAGCGCUGCAAUCUUCUGGAGGUGGGAGCACCAACUCAUUUUCAUUUAAAGGAUACAAACACAAAAACAGCACGUUUUGGCUCAUUCGCUAAAAGUGGUAAUUUCAACAAGCUAUAAAAAAUUAUUUGUGGGGUAUUUUGAGAUAAAACUUCACAUACAUACUCUGGGGAUAUCAGAGAACAAUUAAAAAUAUUUUGUAUCAAUGCAUUCUAUGGCACCUUUAAUUAAAUUGUUAAAGGGGUCAUAUGAUGUUGCUAAAAAGAACAUUAUUUUGUGUAUUUGGUGUAAUGAAAUGUGUUUAUGCGGUUUAUUUAAUUAUUUUCCAAAUACUGUACAUUAUUGUUUCUCCUCUAUGCCCCACCUUUCAGAAACGCGUCGAUUUUUACAAGUCUGAAAAGCGAGGUGCACUCUGAUUGGCCAGCUAUCCAAUGCGUUGUGAUCGGCCGAAUACCUCAAGCAUGUGACGUACGCUCCUUAGCAUACUGUGGUGCCGUGUUCAGUGUUGCCAAAUCCGCGGAAUUGGGCUACUUUAACACUGUUGCCGCUGGUUACUUUUCAUGUCAGCGGGUUGAAGCAACCCCAAUAACGUGAUAUUUAGCCCCUGAAAUGUGAAUUUUACUGGACGAUCCCCGUGUAAAACGUGUAUUUUACCCCCCGGAAUGCGAUUUUUUUACCAGGGAAUUGAAAUCCAAUUAGGAUAGUUUUGGGCUAGUUUUGAGUAGCAAAAGGAACAUUUGAAAUUGCAUCAUAUGACCCCUUUAAGAGAAUCUUAAAGAGCACUAACCUCAUAUUAGUCAGAAAUAGUGUGAAGUACUGGCUACUUCAUUAAGUAGGAUGAGUAAGAUCAGCUGUGAGAGGCUCUAGCACUGUAAAUAUAUUCAAUUCAAUUUAAGUUUAUUUGUAUAGCGCUUUUUACGAUACAAAACGCUGCAGUGAAAAUUUACAGAAAAUUAAGUUUCUACAAUAUUUAGUAGUAGCUUUUCAAUGGUGACUGUCAGUUUAUGUACAUAUGGCAGAAAUAAAAUCAAUUAAAGACGUAAUCAAACAGACGAUGAACACUAUUAACAGCAAUUAUAUGCUGUUAUAUU